This 86-nucleotide transfer RNA is filed under the name Felis catus (domestic cat). It matches the Rfam family "tRNA". From Rfam's summary of the family: Transfer RNA (tRNA) molecules are approximately 80 nucleotides in length. Their secondary structure includes four short double-helical elements and three loops (D, anti-codon, and T loops). Lineage: Eukaryota; Metazoa; Chordata; Mammalia; Carnivora; Felidae. The record is from Rfam by way of RNAcentral.
GCCUGGGUGGCUCAGUCGGUUAAGCGGCUGACUUCAGCUCAGGUCAUUAUCUCAACGGUUUGUGGGUUCAAAUCCCACAUCGGGCU